RNAcentral lists this ribosomal RNA (253 nucleotides) under uncultured bacterium. RNAcentral's name for it is "partial 16S ribosomal RNA". It matches the Rfam family "Bacterial small subunit ribosomal RNA", at positions 524 to 776 of the family's 1533-position model. The record is from RNAcentral.
UACGAAGGGGGCUAGCGUUGCUCGGAAUUACUGGGCGUAAAGCGCACGUAGGCGGCUCUUUAAGUCGGAGGUGAAAUCCUGGAGCUCAACUCCAGAACUGCCUUCGAUACUGUAGAGCUUGAGUUCGGGAGAGGUGAGUGGAACUGCGAGUGUAGAGGUGAAAUUCGUAGAUAUCCGGAGGAACACCGGUGGCGAAGGCGGCUUCCUGGACCGACACUGACGCUGAGGCGCGAAAGCGUGGGGAGCAAACAGG